AAUGAACGCUAGCAGAACGCCUAACACAUGCAAGUCGUACGGAUUUGUUGACUUCGGUUAACAAGUUAGUGGCAAACGGGCGAGUAACACGUGCUUAAUCUGCCCUGGAGAGGGGAACAACUACGGAGACGUAGCUAAAUCCCCAUACGCUCAUGGAAAUGAAAAUACCAUGAGGAAACAAUUUAUUGCUCUAGGAGGAGGGUGCGGCCUAUCAGGUAGUUGGUGAGGUAACUGCUCACCAAGCCUAUGACGGGUAACCGGUCUGAGAGGAUGUCCGGUCGCAAUGGAACUGAGACACGGUCCAUACCCCUACGGGGGGCAGCAGUGGGGAAUCUUGGUCAAUGGGCGAAAGCCUGAACCAGCGAUUCUGCGUGAAGGAUGAAGCCUCGCGGGGUGUAAACUUCUUUUAUGGGGGAAGACGAAUGACGGUACCCCACGAAUAAGGGACGGCUAACUACGUG
This 461-nucleotide ribosomal RNA is filed under the name uncultured bacterium. RNAcentral describes it as "bacterial SSU rRNA". It matches the Rfam family "Bacterial small subunit ribosomal RNA", at positions 29 to 507 of the family's 1533-position model. The record is from RNAcentral.